UACGUAGGGUGCAAGCGUUUAAUCGGAAUUACUGGGCGUAAAGCGUGCGCAGGCGGUUGUGCAAGACCGAUGUGAAAUCCCCGGGCUUAACCUGGGAAUGGCAUUGGUGACUGCACGGCUAGAGUGUGUCAGAGGGGGGUAGAAUUCCACGUGUAGCAGUGAAAUGCGUAGAGAUGUGGAGGAAUACCGAUGGCGAAGGCAGCCCCCUGGGAUAACACUGACGCCUCAUGCACGAAAGCGUGGGGAGCAAACAGG
This 255-nucleotide ribosomal RNA is filed under the name uncultured bacterium. RNAcentral's name for it is "partial 16S ribosomal RNA". It matches the Rfam family "Bacterial small subunit ribosomal RNA", at positions 524 to 776 of the family's 1533-position model. The record is from RNAcentral.